CUGCAGAGUAUCGAGAAGGGCUUGGUGCAGGCCUUGGGUGUGCUGCUGGGGACUUUUUGGUGAAAGGAAAUGCUACUUUGGAAUGUUGCAGAGUAACAGAUGGAAGUCAGAAUGACAGAAGGACAGAAAGUAUCUGGGGCUGCAGAAAGAGAAAGAUCAAAAAUAAGUGGGGACAUAGAGACAUUCUAGCUGUUUGCAAUAAUUACACACAGAAGACUGAUGUGAAGGUCAGUCUCCAACAUCUGGAAAUGGAAACAGAUUCUUAAUUAGGGCAACCGUGAUGGAGCCACCUCUGAAACCAGCGAUGAGGA
This is a long non-coding RNA of Hipposideros armiger (great roundleaf bat), 311 nucleotides long. RefSeq lists it as uncharacterized. The transcript is spliced from 4 exons. The record is from RefSeq and is a predicted model, not a curated record. NCBI's taxonomy places the organism in Eukaryota, Metazoa, Chordata, Mammalia, Chiroptera, Hipposideridae.